GCAUCUAUAGGCAAAUUGGCAAAGCCGACACAUUUAGGAUGUGUUGUUUAAGAGUUCAAGUCUCUUUGGAUGCACCA
This 77-nucleotide transfer RNA is filed under the name Caudoviricetes sp. RNAcentral's name for it is "tRNA-Leu". It matches the Rfam family "tRNA". Rfam says of the family: Transfer RNA (tRNA) molecules are approximately 80 nucleotides in length. Their secondary structure includes four short double-helical elements and three loops (D, anti-codon, and T loops). The record is from RNAcentral. Lineage: Duplodnaviria; Heunggongvirae; Uroviricota; Caudoviricetes.